UGGGGAAUUUUCCGCAAUGGGCGAAAGCCUGACGGAGCAAUACCGCGUGAGGGAAGAAAGCCUACUGGGUUGUAAACCUCUUUUUUCAGGGAGGAAAAAAAUGACGUGUACCUGAAGAAUAAGCAUCGGCUAACUCCGUGCCAGCAGCCGCGGUAAGACGGAGGAUGCAAGUGUUAUCCGGAAUUACUGGGCGUAAAGCGUCUGUAGGUGGUUUAAUAAGUCAACUGUUAAAUCUUGAGGCUUAACUUCAAAACAGCAGUCGAAACUAUUAGACUAGAGUAUAGUAGGGGUAAAGGGAAUUUCCAGUGGAGCGGUGAAAUGCGUAGAUAUUGGAAAGAACACCGAUGGCGAAAGCACUUUACUGGGCUAUUACUAACACUCAGAGACGAAAGCUAGGGUAGCAAAUGGGAUUAGAUACCCCAGUAGUCCUAGCUGUAAACAAUGGAUACUAGAUGUUGAACAGAUCGACCUGUGCAGUAUUAAAGCUAACGCGUUAAGUAUCCCGCCUGGGAAGUAUGCUCGCAAGAGUG
RNAcentral lists this ribosomal RNA (530 nucleotides) under uncultured bacterium. RNAcentral describes it as "bacterial SSU rRNA". It matches the Rfam family "Bacterial small subunit ribosomal RNA", at positions 355 to 896 of the family's 1533-position model. The record is from RNAcentral.